This 74-nucleotide transfer RNA is filed under the name Coniochaeta sp. 2T2.1. It matches the Rfam family "tRNA". Rfam says of the family: Transfer RNA (tRNA) molecules are approximately 80 nucleotides in length. The record is from Rfam by way of RNAcentral. Lineage: Eukaryota; Fungi; Ascomycota; Sordariomycetes; Coniochaetales; Coniochaetaceae.
UUCUCCUUAGCUCAGUUGGCUAGAGCGUUCGACUGUUAAUCGAGAGGUCCACAGUUCAAGCCUGUGAGGGGAAG